GAGGGAGGGUUAAACCAACAGGAACUGCUAACUCCUGCAUCUGAGUAUAAAAACCUCAGCCCCCUU
Molecule: transfer RNA, 66 nt
Filed under: Ptilorrhoa caerulescens (blue jewel-babbler)
Lineage: Eukaryota; Metazoa; Chordata; Aves; Passeriformes; Cinclosomatidae
Description: tRNA-Ser
Source: RNAcentral